GAUGAACGCUAGCUACAGGCUUAACACAUGCAAGUCGAGGGGAAACGACAUUGGAAGCUUGCUUCCUUUGGGCGUCGACCGGCGCACGGGUGAGUAACGCGUAUCCAACCUUCCCGCAAGUAAGGGAUAACCCGUAGAAAUGCGGCCUAAUACCUUAUGUUUUCCUUAGAGGGCAUCUGAUGAGGAACAAAGAUCCGUCGCUUGCGGAUGGGGAUGCGUCUGAUUAGUUAGUCGGCGGGGUAACGGCCCACCGAGACGACGAUCAGUAGGGGUUCUGAGAGGAAAGUCCCCCACAUUGGAACUGAGACACGGUCCAAACUCCUACGGGAGGCAGCAGUGAGGAAUAUUGGUCAAUGGGCGGAAGCCUGAACCAGCCAAGUAGCGUGCAGGACGACGGCCCUAUGGGUUGUAAACUGCUUUUUAUAAGGGAAUAAAGUGGGUCACGUGUGGCCUUUUGCAGGUACCGCAUGAAUAAGGACCGGCUAAUUCCGUG
This 493-nucleotide ribosomal RNA is filed under the name uncultured bacterium. RNAcentral describes it as "bacterial SSU rRNA". It matches the Rfam family "Bacterial small subunit ribosomal RNA", at positions 28 to 507 of the family's 1533-position model. The record is from RNAcentral.